Molecule: ribosomal RNA, 253 nt
Filed under: uncultured bacterium
Lineage: Bacteria
Description: partial 16S ribosomal RNA
Rfam family: Bacterial small subunit ribosomal RNA
Source: RNAcentral
UACGGGGGGGGCAAGCGUUGUUCGGAAUUACUGGGCGUAAAGGGCUCGUAGGCGGUCACGCACGUCCGUUGUGAAAUCGCUCGGCUCAACUGGGCGGGGUCAGCGGAUACGGCGUGGCUGGAGCAAGCUAGGGGGCAAUGGAAUUCCCGGUGUAGUGGUGGAAUGCGUAGAUAUCGGGAGGAACACCAGUGGCGAAGGCGGUUGCCUGGAGCUUUGCUGACGCUGAUGCGCGAAAGCGUGGGGAGCGAUCCGG